Molecule: RNA transcript, 1831 nt
Organism: Diceros bicornis minor
Lineage: Eukaryota; Metazoa; Chordata; Mammalia; Perissodactyla; Rhinocerotidae
Gene name: ral guanine nucleotide dissociation stimulator-like
Exons: 11
Source: RefSeq, a predicted model, not a curated record
CAUCUUGUCAGCACUGGGGGCCCAAGAUCUCCUCGACUCGCUGCACUCCUACUGCUUCUGCUCCCGGGGGAACAGGAGUACGGGUGCUGCCUGCGGGAGCAGGUGGGGAAGAACGGCGAGCUGAAGAGGGGCAGCCGCCGACAGCCAGGUGCACACGCUGCAGGAGGAGCUGGACGAGCUGAAGGGAGGGAGCUCCCUGCCUUAGCAGCCUGCUGCCCCCAGCCAGGUUUGGUGGCAGCAGUGGGAUUCAAAGGACUCAUCUGAUGGCUUCGGAGAUGAGAAACACAGGCAUUGGUACCCGCAAAACCUUUGAGUUCUCCAUCUUUUUCGCUGUUUCCGAGGGCCGUGGGAGCUCUUCUGGAAAGUGGUGCCCUCUCAGUGCCUGGGCUCCACCUGGGGCAAGAGGAACCAGCCCGGCAAUGAGCACCUGGCACCCACCGUCCAAGCCACCGUCGACCACUUCAGAAGGGUGGUCAGCCUCGUUGUCACCACCUGCCUCGGGGACCCGAGUAUGACGGCCCAGGACAGGGCGAGGGUGGUGGAGCACUGGAUCCAGGUGGCCCAGGAGUGCGAGAUCCUGAAGAACUUCUCCUCGCUCCGUGCUGUCAUCUCUGCUCUGCAGAAAACCUCCAUAAGCCACCUGAAGAACACGUGGGCAGAUGUUUCCCGGGAGAGCUCAGAACAACUUAAGGAGUUCUGUAGCCAUGACAAGUCCUUGAGAAGAGAAUUGAUGACCAAGGGUGUCGUCCCCUAUCUUGGCACUUUCCUCGGUGACCUGCUGAUGCUGCACCUGGCGAUGGGUGAUUAUCUCGAGGGGAGUGAGAUCAACCUUCAGAAAAGGACUGAGGAAUACCGAGUCAUGAGGGAGAUGCUGCUGCUCCAGGUGGCUGCAAAGAAUUACAACCUAGAGCCCGAGGAGCGAUUUGGGGCCUGGUUCCAGGACAUGGAGCUGCUCAAUGAGAAUGAUAGGCGAAGAUUUGUGAUGCAGCUUUUAAGGCUACAUCUGGGCCUCCUUCCGUCAUGUCUAUGCUGCCUACACACUAGGCUCUCCAGCAUCCCUGCACGUACUUAUGUAAUGCUGUUUCAGGAGGAAAUGUCCUGGAGGCCCCAGCCUCUGUCAGGCCAUGAGAUGACCUGAAUGCAGAUAUAGUGGGAUUCAUCACCUCUGCGUCCUUCAGUCCUCGGUGGUGGUCCUAAUCUCUGCAGCCCCUCCAGGAAUGCGACACUCAGAUCAACUAGCUACCACCAUAGGUUUCUGUGAGUCAAAUGGAUUCUCAUUAUUGCCUUGACUCCACUAUCCAUUACAGAAACCAUAACCACCUUGUCUCUUGAGAUUCAGUGCCUCUGCUUGGUCUCUGCUGCCCCGGGAUCCAGGUGUCCUCACUGCAUAUCAAGAUCCCAGGUCACUGGCAGCAGUUCCACUGUAAUGUCUGCCCUAAAGAGGAGAGUGGCCACAGAGCUCUUCACGGACUCGGGGACUGCCCUCAUGAAUUUAUUUCCACAGUAGUAGUGCAAGUGUGUCCUCUGGACCCUGUUGGGGUGGGUAGGCAUGUCUUACAUGAUAAAUACACUCUAACGUUCCAAUCACCUAAGCCUUGGAUACCUUCUUCUAUAGGAGACCAAGGAAGGUCAGCCUCACUUAGUGUAUUCCCGGCAACCAAUGACACUGCUGGAACUCUUUGUGCCCUCUCAAGACACAGCAAAGAGUAGAGAAUCUCUGCUUAGUGGGCCCAUAUCAAUAAAUUAGACCUGAUCCAACUUUAUGUUCCUUCCACCAUUAUCCAAACCCCUUAAUAGCCAUUUGCACACAGUUUUCCUAGAUUUGUUUCUG